RNAcentral lists this unclassified non-coding RNA (370 nucleotides) under uncultured fungus. RNAcentral describes it as "partial contains 5.8S ribosomal RNA and internal transcribed spacer 2". The stretch from base 1 to 133 matches the Rfam family "5.8S ribosomal RNA", at positions 22 to 154 of the family's 154-position model. Lineage: Eukaryota; Fungi. The record is from RNAcentral.
UGGCUCUCGCAUCGAUGAAGAACGCAGCGAAAUGCGAUAAGUAAUGUGAAUUGCAGAAUUCAGUGAAUCAUCGAAUCUUUGAACGCACCUUGCGCUCCUUGGUAUUCCGAGGAGCAUGCCUGUUUGAGUGUCAUGGUAUUCUCAAUCCAUUUGUCUCUGUCAAAUGGCAUUGGAUGUGGAGGAUUUUGCUGGUCUUGUUUCUGAUCGGCUCCUCUGAAAUAUAUCAGCAUGGAAUAUGUUGCUGCCUUUAGUGUGAUAAUUAUCUACGCUGUGUGGCUUGGCUUUACUAUGUUUUAUGCUUUCUAAUCGUCUGUUAAUUCGGACAAUUUUAUUGACAUCUGACCUCAAAUCAGGUAGGACUACCCGCUGA